Molecule: ribosomal RNA, 290 nt
Filed under: uncultured bacterium
Lineage: Bacteria
Description: partial 16S ribosomal RNA
Rfam family: Bacterial small subunit ribosomal RNA
Source: RNAcentral
UUUCGCCUACGGGACGCAGCAGUGAGGAAUAUUGGUCAAUGGCCGGAAGGCUGAACCAGCCAAGCCGCGUGAAGGACGAAGGUGCCAAGCAUUGUAAACUUCUUUUGUCAAGGGACAAAAUCAGGCUCGAGAGCCUGACCGAGGGUACUUGAAGAAAAAGCAUCGGCUAACUCCGUGCCAGCAGCCGCGGUAAUACGGAGGAUGCGAGUGUUAUCCGGAUUUAUUGUGUUUAAAGGGUGCGUAGUCUGACUGUUAAGUCAGCGGUAAAAUCCCUGGGCUCAACCCCGGCG